UGCCCCCUCGUUCAAUGGUAGGACAGCAGAUUCUGGAUCUGCUUAUCGGGGUUCGAAUCCCUGGGGGGCAACCA
Molecule: transfer RNA, 74 nt
Filed under: Acidobacteriota bacterium
Lineage: Bacteria; Pseudomonadati; Acidobacteriota
Also listed under: 3 other names
Description: tRNA-Gln
Rfam family: tRNA
About the family: Transfer RNA (tRNA) molecules are approximately 80 nucleotides in length. Their secondary structure includes four short double-helical elements and three loops (D, anti-codon, and T loops). Further hydrogen bonds mediate the characteristic L-shaped molecular structure. tRNAs have two regions of fundamental functional importance: the anti-codon, which is responsible for specific mRNA codon recognition, and the 3' end, to which the tRNAs corresponding amino acid is attached (by aminoacyl-tRNA synthetases). tRNAs cope with the degeneracy of the genetic code in two manners: having more than one tRNA (with a specific anti-codon) for a particular amino acid; and 'wobble' base-pairing, i.e. permitting non-standard base-pairing at the 3rd anti-codon position.
Source: RNAcentral